GGAAGGGUGCCAGAGUGGUUGAAUGGGCAGUCCUGGAAAGACUGUGCAUCUGAAAAGGUGCCACGGGUUCGAAUCCCGUCCCUUCCGCCA
RNAcentral lists this transfer RNA (90 nucleotides) under Candidatus Brennerbacteria bacterium CG_4_10_14_0_2_um_filter_43_14. RNAcentral describes it as "tRNA-Ser". It matches the Rfam family "tRNA". Rfam says of the family: Transfer RNA (tRNA) molecules are approximately 80 nucleotides in length. RNAcentral also lists the same sequence under 3 other names. Lineage: Bacteria; Candidatus Brenneribacteriota. The record is from RNAcentral.